RNAcentral lists this long non-coding RNA (245 nucleotides) under Ananas comosus (pineapple). RNAcentral's name for it is "long non-coding RNA (ACOM_LNC024297)". Lineage: Eukaryota; Viridiplantae; Streptophyta; Magnoliopsida; Poales; Bromeliaceae. The record is from RNAcentral.
AGUAUGAAAGUGGUAGGUUAGCGGCGGGAGCGUUUCCGAGCCUGUUUUGGUGAUUUUGAAAACCCGGUUCGGUAGUUUUUUGUAUUGUUGAUCCUUUAGUAUUUAUUAAGUGUUGUUGCUGCCCGAGCACUUGUUUUGGUGCGUUUGGGGACAGCGGUUAGUUACAGUAGGGAUUGGGGAUUUUCGAAGCAAUUUGUGGAUUCCAGAGGCGUUCUGAAAGUUCCGAAAGUUUCGGUGGUGAUUUU